GAUGAACGCUGGCGGCGUGCCUAAUACAUGCAAGUCGAGCGAACGGACGAGAAGCUUGCUUCUCUGAUGUUAGCGGCGGACGGGUGAGUAACACGUGGAUAACCUACCUAUAAGACUGGGAUAACUUCGGGAAACCGUAGCUAAUACCGGAUAAUAUUUUGAACCGCAUGGUUCAAAAGUGAAAGACGGUCUUGCUGUCACUUAUAGAUGGAUCCGCGCUGCAUUAGCUAGUUGGUAAGGUAACGGCUUACCAAGGCAACGAUGCAUAGCCGACCUGAGAGGGUGAUCGGCCACACUGGAACUGAGACACGGUACAGACUCCUACGGGAGGCAGCAGUAGGGAAGCUUCCGCAAUGGGCGAAGGCCUGACGGAGCAACGCCGCGUGAGUGAUGAAGGUCUUCGGAUCGUAAAACUCUGUUAUUAGGGAAGAACAUAUGUGUAAGUAACUGUGCACAUCUUGACGGUACCUAAUCAGAAAGCCACGGCUAACUACGU
RNAcentral lists this ribosomal RNA (496 nucleotides) under uncultured bacterium. RNAcentral describes it as "partial 16S ribosomal RNA". It matches the Rfam family "Bacterial small subunit ribosomal RNA", at positions 28 to 506 of the family's 1533-position model. The record is from RNAcentral.